CACAGAAGCAAUGAGAAAUCAGCACAACUGUCAGGUGCAGGACCCUGGGGCAGCUUUCUAGGUUUUAGGUUGGCUGGUGCUAACUUGUGAUGUUUUGUUUCCAGGAUGCCAAAUCCAUCUCUAUAGUAAGCUUCAGAAAUGGGCCUUAGGACCUUGUGAACGACUGUUUACCCAAGGAUUUCGGUCUCUGGCACAGGGGUUGUGCCAGGUUACAGUUUCUCUGUAGCAGGAGCAUUAUAUUUGGUUUCAGGAUACCAAUGCUGGUAGACCUGCAGCACGAGAAGCACAUUACAUCCUUGCAUGUAAUGCAUGGCGAUUAUGGGAGGAGACUUAGAGAGAAGCUUGGAGUACACAUAGUAACUACAGGAGAAAAAUACACAUCAGCUUCAUGAAUCAUUGGGAAACAGCAGCAAAGAAAGAAUGCAUUGUAUCUGCAAAGCCUGUGAAAGCCUCAAGCCUUGGAUGUGAAUUAAGCUUGAUGUGAGGAAGCUGGGUUUUCCCAGGAGUCCAGUUUCAGUGCUCCUGUGGGAACAGCUGAGUUCAGGUUCUUAAUUUCUUCCCACCCAAGAAGUUACGUGACUAGCAGGUUCAAAAGGAGAAGCUUAGCCUCCUUUUCCUUGGAAGCAG
This is a long non-coding RNA of Oxyura jamaicensis (ruddy duck), 627 nucleotides long. RefSeq lists it as uncharacterized. The transcript is spliced from 2 exons. Lineage: Eukaryota; Metazoa; Chordata; Aves; Anseriformes; Anatidae. The record is from RefSeq and is a predicted model, not a curated record.